This 301-nucleotide ribosomal RNA is filed under the name uncultured bacterium. Its description in RNAcentral is "partial 16S ribosomal RNA". It matches the Rfam family "Bacterial small subunit ribosomal RNA", at positions 509 to 807 of the family's 1533-position model. The record is from RNAcentral.
CAGCCGCCGCGGGAAAACGUAGGUGGCAAGCGUUGUCCGGAAUUAUUGGGCGUAAAGGGCUCGCAGGCGGCUUCUUAAGUCUGAUGUGAAAGCCCCCGGCUCAACCGGGGAGGGUCAUUGGAAACUGGGAAACUUGAGUGCAAAAGAGGAGAGUGGAAUUCCACGUGUAGCGGUGAAGUGCGUAGAGAUGUGGAGGAACACCAGUGGCGAAGGCGACUCUCUGGUCUGUAACUGACGCUGAGGAGCGAAAGCGUGGGGAGCGAACAGGAUUAGAUACCCCAGUAGUCCCUGUCUCUUAUAC